AGAAUCAACGCUGGCGGCGUGCCUAACACAUGCAAGUCGAACGAGAAAGUGGAGCAAUCCAUGAGUAAAGUGGCGCACGGGUGAGUAACACGUGACUAACCUACCCUUGAGUGGGGGAUAACCUCGGGAAACCGGGGCUAAUACCGCAUAAUAUCGAGAGAUCAAAGGAGCAAUUCGCUUAAGGAGGGGGUCGCGGCUGAUUAGCUAGUUGGUAGGGUAAUGGCCUACCAAGGCUAUGAUCAGUAUCCGGCCUGAGAGGGCGCACGGACACACUGGAACUGAAACACGGUCCAGACUCCUACGGGAGGCAGCAGUGGGGAAUUUUGCGCAAUGGGGGAAACCCUGACGCAGCAACGCCGCGUGGAGGAUGAAGUCCCUUGGGACGUAAACUCCUUUCGAUCGGGACGAUAAUGACGGUACCGGAAGAAGAGCCCGGCUAACUUCGCGCCAGCACGCCGC
RNAcentral lists this ribosomal RNA (459 nucleotides) under uncultured bacterium. RNAcentral describes it as "SSU rRNA". It matches the Rfam family "Bacterial small subunit ribosomal RNA", at positions 26 to 518 of the family's 1533-position model. The record is from RNAcentral.